UUGUCUCCUCGGAUGCCUCUCCUUCCUCCCGCAGCGGGAGCUGCUGGCAGCGAGGCCGGAGCGCGGCGGCCGCGGGCUGGCUCGGGGCGCUGCAGGGACAGCGUGGGUGUGAAGCCUGUGGCGCUUGGAGCUUUCUACACCUGCCUUGCUCAGGGCUGCGGGGGAGGAGGAGGAGGAGGUGAAAUGGCAAAUGUGUGCUCAGGCACAAACCCCAGCUCCGUGGGCGGACGCCCGGGGUUGCCGUCGGCCGAGUCGCCUCAGCCCCGCAGGUCUGUGACCUCUGGCUCCUGCCCAUGACACACCGCUGUCCUCCGGGUGGAAACUGCGGACGAAAGUGCAGGAUGUGCCUUGGUUUUGCUGACACCGCUCCAGCCGCGCUGGCUCCCGCGCUGAAUCCUGGUAAAAUGCAGUAAAGGAUUUAAGGUUAUCGUCUGUCUCUCUCUAACUUCUGACAUCUCUUUAUAACAAGAAAGAGUCACAGCCAACUGUAACAGGAGGGCAACACAAUGAAUCCUGCUCAUUCUAGGAGGAAUAUAUACAUGUGGCAGCAGCACUCAGGACAUGAAGAGCUACUUUGAAAGUUGGUGCAUUUCCCAGUGUUUGAGAUGAAGAUGGAAAGUAGAGAGUGGGAAAAUUGGCUGUCCCUGCAGAGGUGCCCCCCAGCCACAGCAACGUUUGUGCAGCCAUCGUGCUUUUCUAUCCUUAACGAGAAAGCAGCCUGGACUGGUUCAGAGCAAAUGCAGUUUGUAGGAAGCCUUUCAGAUGGAUGUUCUUCCCUGAGGAGGGAGUUUUCCAGGGGCCUGGCAGAGCCAGCUGGCAGCAUGAACAGCUCAAGCUACAGCAAGGAGACUGAAGCAGAACUACACAAACUUUUCCAUAUUCCCUUCUACUGUGCUGAAUUGGGAAGGCAUGCAAGGCAAACCUGAAAAUCUAUGUGUGGCUGCUGGGCCGCACAUAGAGCUGUACAUACAUAGAGCAGUAAAUGGGAGCUCGUGCAGGGUUCGUGCUGUACUGGGAGAGCUAACUGGGCUGUGAAAGUAAGCUUUACCUUUAAACAGACCAAGGUAAAUGACAGCUGAGGAUGUUACACAGGCAGUUGGGUUCUUUACACUCGGCCUCAUGUUCUCAGAAGGUUUUGCUCACUGCACUGCCCUGGGAAAUACAGCAGUAAAAGCCUGUGACCAGAGGGAAAGUGGUAAGCCAGUGGUAGCACUAGAUUAAAACAGCAGCACGCAAACACACUGACCUCUUCCUGAGUGGUAACCUCGAGUGAGAGCUAAUUCACCGGAUUGAUUUUAUUCAGCUUGUCCAUGAGAAAAUAGAGCACAGCAGCAUUGACUGCAACUGGCCAAAAGUGCUUGUGAGCUUCAGUGAUCUUUAUAGUGAUUGUUUCAGCUUCCAGGUCCUUAAAGAUGUUGGCAAUGUUAUGAUGUGCUAUUGCACUCAAAGCCUUCUGUUUGGCAAAAAUGUACUGGCAAAAGGCACAGAAUAUAAAUGAAUCUAAGAAUUUAUUGUUAGUCCAAUUAAUGUUUUAAACAGUCUAAUAGUCAAAAUUACUUAAUGAAUACAGGAAGACCUCAUUAAAAAUAGAGUUAAAAUUGCUACACUAAAAAUUCCCUCUUCUCUGGUGUUGUGCUUACUCUUCCAGUUCUCCUUUGGGUCUUAAGACUGGUAUUCCUCAAAAGGAAUGGGGGAGUAUUAUGAUUAGUGUGAUACUUAUGGAGAGGAGUGUCUUCCUUCUCAGCCUGGUGUCUCCUUGGAUUUAGUUUUAUAUGUUUUCUUAACACUAUCAUCUAACUAUGAUUAAAUGGCUGAUUUGUGUCAAAUGUGUCUGCACUCUUCCCCGUGACUGCCCCUAGAGUUGUAGGCAGUUUAGUUCACAAUGAAUAAUCAUUUAUUAUUACCCUAAAUUAGAGUUAAACAAAUCUAGUCAAGAGUGCCUCAGAGCUGGACAACUGCUGUCACAGCUAAACCAAGUUAAAAUCUAUCUAGGCCCAGAAAAACCCAGACCACUGCCAAGUCCGUACACUGUCAUGUCAAUACAAACCUUGUUGGUUUUUACUAAUAAUGGCAAAAUCACAUUUAUCGGGCUAUAAAGUCACUUUGAAUAGCCUGUGAAAUACAGAGCAAGGAUUUGCAAACCCUGCUGAGACUGCAGCAUCAUGAAUGAGCAGCAGAUCUUGGAAACAUUCACACUUUGCUACCUUCUCUUAAAUUAGAGUAAUUCGAAGUCUGAUUGACUUGUAUUUCUUCAUUGCCUUCAGGAGGCCAGCUAACAAAAAGUAUUUGAUUUUCAUCACCAAUAUAAUUCGCCCAAUCAGCAGGAAUACUGUGAUUAUUAAACUGAGAGCUAUAGUUUGUAGUGCUAAGUUAAAAAUUCUUGUAGCUGCAGGAGACCAUAGUGUUACCUGAUAAAGGUAUAGGAUAAUUAAGAAACGUGCUUGAAUCUAAGAUAUCUCAGACAUACACACACACAGACAAGCACUGUCAGGCAGGUGUUACAUGAGGUAGUUCACAAUAAUUUCUGAAACUGGGUCUGUACACAAACACAACUAGAUCUCAUAUAUAUGAUUAAAGAUAGAUUAGAAACAGAAUGAGAGAUAUCAUAGUCACAUCUGUUUAACUUACAAGCUAAGUAAUCAUCUGAAGACUGGAAACUAAUAUCUUCACAUCUCUAUUAAAUAUUUCAAUGCUAUUUGUCGGCAUUCUUCUGAAAAGACUCACUGAAUAUUCCAUUUUCUUUGGCAGACUGUGUUGACAGAUGCACAUCUUUAAUAACAGAAACACUUGUUAUACAUUUCCAAAAUUAUCUGAUCAGCUUUGUACAAACAAGAACUUUUCCAUCAACUUGAUACAUGACUAUGUAUUUUACAUAUAUGCAGUUUUCACCAUGUACAAUAUUCAAGAUGUUUUAAAAUAUCUCCCGUACAAUUGUACAUAAAUGUUACAUUUAUUUUUAAAAUGUGAUUUUUCCAUGGCAAAAAAAAUACCCUGUUGAUCCAUCUUUUCUUUUAUGCUUUAUAAGAACUCAGUUUCAACUGUACUUGUAAAUAUAUGUAUAUUUUAAUGUUACAAGUAUAGAUAUUAAUAUCUAGGUGAUCUGUUAAAUGUGAUUACUCUCAAGGAGAGGACAUACAGACCUUGUCAUCUGGAGAUGAGAGAGACACAACCUACAAGGGAUCCUCUGCCAGUAUUUCACCACCCUCAUGGUAAAUAAUUUUUCCUAAUCCCUGAUCAGAGUUUCUCUUGGUCUGAUUUCUGCAGGUUGCCUCUUUCCUGUCCUUGUGCACAUCUAAGAAAAACCUGUCUUUGUUUUCUUUGUAGCCUCUUGUGAAGUAUUUCCAGGUAGCAGUAGGUCUCCCUGCCCUCUUGGCCUUUUCAAGGCUGAAGAACCACAGUGCCCUCGGCCUCUCCUCACAGGUUUCCUGCUAUAGCCUCCACUGGAGUAGUGCCAUGUCUGCAACUUUCUCAUGGAGAGGGGCACAUCCGGUGGCCAGAUGUAACUGCAAUCAGCUGUGGCCACUCCAAGCUAGAAAUGAGUGUCUGAGCAUCAUGCUCACUAAUCCUUCCACUGCAGUGCCUGUGUUCUGGCUGGUCUCUUGGGUAAGUGCCUCAACAGCUCCUUGUAGUCCUGGGCUGUAGUUAAUAUAAACAGUGGCACAAUUUUUAACAAGUUAGCACUAUAAGGAGUUGUGGAACAAUGUACCAGGGAAAGCUACAUUUAUAUGAUAUGUAAAAUGGAGCACUAGAAUUCCCCUCUUGCAGAUGUUACUUUAAAUAAAUGAAAGAGUUUUGUGGUGAUUUUAAAAGUUUUAUUUUAUUUUCCUCAUGAUGAAGAUGCAGUGAUUCAUGGAGGGAAAACACAUACACAUAGAUAUAUUCACUGUGGAUAAGUGAAUUGAGAAAUAAAGAUUAUGAAAUAAAUACUGUUCUUUUGGUUUAGACCCAGAGGAGUGAAAUUCAGCAUCAAAAUUAUAAAUGUUAUAGCCGAUCUAAUUCUUUUAGUUGUUUUUCUUUGCUUGCAUUUUUGCUGCCAUGUCUUGUUGUUUACAGCUUCUCAGCCAGAAGAAUAUCCCGAAGCAAAUUACUGUCAGAAGCCAAAAAAAGUAUCCAUAAUUCAUCCUAAAGUGCUGUCAACUUAAUUUUAAAGUAAUUUUUCUGCUUUAUGAGUCCAGGCUGAAAUGGUAAGUUUGCAAAUCCAUAAAUCAAACGACAGGAAAUAAAGGAAAUGUAUACCUUUGUUUAAAAUAUUCUGUUUUCCUAAAACUUCAUUGUAAGCAUAGUUUUUAUUAAUUAGAACUUCAAUUACUAGAAAGAGAAGAAAGAAACAAAACUGUGAACUGUAUUCUGUACAACUGUACACAUCUGUGUUGUGACUCCAGAGCCAUCUCCUGGGCUAUAGAGAAGUUUUUCUAGAUUUAUAAUAGCAGAAAAUAAUUUAGAUUGUGUAUUCCUCUGAACACAAUGAGGAGCACGUGUGUGUUUGUGAAUUAGGCUAAGCCUGUUGAGGCCUAGGCCUGUAAAAGGCACACUGUCCUGUGAGGUCUCCUGCAUUUGCAAGUUCUGUUCUGGGGCCCUGUGCAGGUGUGCAGACACUCACAAAACGUCCUCAGUUUCCAAAUGGUUCCAAACUGACCUCACACAUCUCGAGUAACAGUGAAGCUGAUUCAAGUUCUUUACCUGUAAGAGACACAUUAGAGAGCAGGUGUGAAAGCCUUCUGUGGAAAAUCCUUCACUGAAAAUCUGCUGAAACCUGUGUCCCUGAGUGCAAGAACAGCAGUCUGGCAGCGAGUGUGAGCAUGGUCUUGUUUGUGCUCUUCUGCACACUGGGGGAAAUUGUGCAGAAUUCCUGGUCCCAGGACUCAGUUUAUCACCACAGAAGGAGCAGAGCCUCAGUGUGUGUUCCAGCUCAGAACUGCCACCAGCAGCUACUGAAUAGCAGCCAUGUUCUGAAUCUCAGCACACCAUGAAAAUCCUCCUUUAAUCAAAUACUCCCGGGGGAGCGAGAAAUUCAAGAUGCACUUCCAGCCUGGGAAGUGCAUCCACACCACUAGGUCAAUACUUGGCAUAAAGAGCUUUUUGCUUGUUGAUGUGGUGUGGGGGCUGGGGGACAGGACAAGCAAAACCAACAGGCAGCACAUGAGGUAACAUGAGGGCAGCAAGAAAGAAGAAAAGGUACUACAGAACUGAGUGGGGCACUGUGGUGGCUGGGUUAGAAAGCAUUUUGCUUCUCAGCUUGAACUGUUUAAUUAGGGAAUUUCACAGUAAUUUUGACUAAGCUUAACGAGUAACAAAUUCAGUGCUCUGGCUCACUAAAUUCUUUCUUGCAGUCUAAAUAAGGUGCAAAGCUCAGAGCUGAAGGAAUUCAGUGCCUUAACAGCACUUUCUCUCCAGCCUGCACUGUAGGUUUGUGCCAGAACAGGACCACCAGCAAGAAAUACCUACAGUAUGACAUGCACCUAUAGAGUCAUCCCAGUAUGGGGCUGGUGAAGGACAAGAGAUACAAUGCCAGUCUGUUGUGAGAACACGGAGCUGCAUGUCACAGCACGUCUUUUCCGUGGGUUAAGGGAGACUGUCCUAACACUCCCAGCUUCUGCUGCCCAGUCAUUCUCUCUUUGUAAUUAGCAUGAAGACUACCCUUCAGUCAAAACUAGCCACCUGGAAAGUUUCAGCUUGUAAUAUGCAGCUUUUUUUGUGAAUUAUGAAUGUGCAAAAAGAGACCUUUCUCCUUACACCCACUUCCUUGUAUAAUUCAAAUAUGAAUGAAUUUUAUUCAGGCUUGCCAAAAAAUCAUAUUUCAGCUGAUAACAAGCAUGAAAAAUUUCAGAUGAAAGGGAUUUUUUUUAAAAGAAAUAGAAUAUUCUGAGCAUGGGAGAACAGCAGGUUAAGACAGAAGUCUCAGUGCAGCCUUAACUGUAACAAUUGCUAUCAAGCAAAUACUAUAUCCAAGCACUAAAUCUUGCUUUGUGCUGCCCUGGUGCACGGUAGCAGGGACAGAGUAGAAUAAUAAAAGCUGGUCCCCUUAUGCAAACAGCAGGGCACAGCACUUGACAGAGUACAAGAAGGUGAGCCUGCCUGCUGUCCUGGCUUGCUAACCACAUUCCUAGGGUCUGUGGGUCAGUUGUCAGCUCUAGCUCCAGUCAGAUAGCAAAAUGUACUUCAAGCACGAACAAAGGGAAUGUUUUGGCCCUUUCCAGAAGAACAUUGCCUCCAAAUAUACUGUUCUAUUAAAUAAAGUAUUUGAAGGAAUUCGUGUAAGCCACAUGAUGGUUCAACAGGUCAAAAAGGGAAUGGAAUCAGUGCCAGGCUUUUUUCUGAUUAACUGUGUAUUUAAAAAUAUAUAUAUCUGUGAAGAAGGUAUUAUCUCCACAAAGCAGAAUAAAAUUUGGGCUCAUGCCAGUACCACUUUGAAAAUAAACUAUAACAGUGAGGAAAAGUUACCAUCUGGAACAUUUCUGCAUCAUAUUUUUUCUUGUUCCUAAUAAAGCUUUGGUGAUAAGUCCAGCUCUCCUUUUCUACCCAGAAAACAGGAUUAAAACUCCCAUUCAUUUACUAUGGGUUUAUUAAAAAAAUACACAUUACAGUGGCUAAACAGUAGUGAAUGCUAAAGUAUUACCUUGUAGGUUCACA
Molecule: long non-coding RNA, 6630 nt
Organism: Corvus hawaiiensis (hawaiian crow)
Lineage: Eukaryota; Metazoa; Chordata; Aves; Passeriformes; Corvidae
Exons: 9
Source: RefSeq, a predicted model, not a curated record